This 253-nucleotide ribosomal RNA is filed under the name uncultured bacterium. RNAcentral's name for it is "partial 16S ribosomal RNA". It matches the Rfam family "Bacterial small subunit ribosomal RNA", at positions 524 to 776 of the family's 1533-position model. The record is from RNAcentral.
UACAGGGGGUGCAAACGUUGCUCGGAAUUAUUGGGCGUAAAGCGCACGUAGGUGGUCGCGUAAGUUGGAUGUGAAAGCCCUCGGCUUAACUGAGGAAGUGCAUCCAAAACUGUGCGGCUGGAAUGUGGAAGAGGGUCGCGGAAUUCCCGGUGUAGAGGUGAAAUUCGUAGAUAUCGGGAGGAACACCAGCGGCGAAGGCGGCGACCUGGUCCAACAUUGACGCUGAGGUGCGAAAGCGUGGGGAGCAAACAGG